Non-coding RNA from Caenorhabditis elegans, 147 nucleotides. NCBI's taxonomy places the organism in Eukaryota, Metazoa, Nematoda, Chromadorea, Rhabditida, Rhabditidae. The record is from Ensembl.
AGCAUCUAUUCUCUUUGAUGCCCUCCGACUUCCAAGUCCCCUUGGGCAAGAUCUAAUUUACUCCCUUUUUGCAGUGGUACCCUUUUUGCUUCUGAGCUCUCAACCACCACAGAUACCGUAGUACGUCCACUACUUUCCUGCCUCAGG